This 320-nucleotide ribosomal RNA is filed under the name uncultured Prevotella sp. Its description in RNAcentral is "bacterial SSU rRNA". It matches the Rfam family "Bacterial small subunit ribosomal RNA", at positions 28 to 339 of the family's 1533-position model. The record is from RNAcentral. Lineage: Bacteria; Pseudomonadati; Bacteroidota; Bacteroidia; Bacteroidales; Prevotellaceae.
GAUGAACGCUAGCUACAGGCUUAACACAUGCAAGUCGAGGGGCAACAUUAUCGAAGCUUGCUUUGAUAGAUGGCGACCGGCGCACGGGUGAGUAACGCGUAUCCAACCUUCCCCUUAGUAGGGCACAGCCCGGCGAAAGUCGGAUUAAUUCCCUAUGUUGUCCUUUGAAGACAUCUGACGAGGACCAAAGAUUCAUCGCUAAGGGAUGGGGAUGCGUCUGAUUAGAUAGUAGGCGGGGUAACGGCCCACCAAGACGACGAUCAGUAGCCGAUCUGAGAGGAUGACCGGCCACAUUGGGACUGAGACACGGCCCAAACUCC